AUGCAAAGGACUAAUAUAUUUUUAUUACUAAAAAUAUUAUUUGUUUUAUUUUUAUUCGAAGCUAAUAUUAAGAUUUAUAUUAUCAUCUCCGUUUUAUUUAUUUUAUAUAAUAGAGGAUUUUUAGAUUUUUUAAUCAAUAAUUUUAACUUUAUGUCUAAUAAUGAAUCUAUAGAACAAGUUCUAAGAAGGAGACGCGAGUCUUUGAAUUUAAACAAUAAUACUGACGGUGACAAUAAUAAUUAUGGUGGAAAUAAUAAUUAUGGAGGUAAUAAUAAUUAUGGAGGUAAUAAUAAUGAUAGAGACAAUAAUAAUGAUAGAGACAAUAAUAAUGAUAUUACUAAUAGUAGCAAUGACAUUAACAAUGAUAAUGACAAUGGGAGUAAUACAUGUAACGAAAUUGCACCUAACAUAAACACUAACAGAGAAAUAAGCAAAGAAUCAAUACAAAAUAUAGUUAGUGAUAAAACAGAAGAUAAUAAAAAAACAGAACAUAAUUUAUAUAAAUACAAUGAUGAAAAUAAUUAUGAAGUAAAUGAUUUUUCUUUUUCAGAUUCACAAAAUUUUACAUUAAAAAGAAGGAAUGUGGGAGGGGAAAGUGGAAGUAUACAUAAUGAUGAAGAGAAAAAUAAAUAUAUAGAUAGAAUGAUAGAAAAGGAUACAAAAAGAGAGAAUAUAGAAAAACAAAAAAAAAAAGGACAAAGCAAAUUAUUAAUGUUAUAUUCUGUUAAAAAUGAAGAAAAUAGUAAUGAACAUAAUAAAGGUGAUAAAAAAAAUAGUAUAAUAGAUGGUAAGCUUGAUAACAAGACGAGUGACGCAGAUACAAAUUUAAAUAAAAUUGUUAGGGACAAAAACUACAGGGAUGAACUUAAUUAUGAAUUUAAUGAUGAAAACAGUGUUAAUAAGAACAGUUAUAGUAAGAAUAUUAAUCGUGAAAAUAACGAGGACGUUGAAAAUGAUACGAAUGAAACUAACUCAUUUUUAAAUAUAAAAGAAAGUAUAGGUCAUAAACAAACUAAUAUGAAUAAUAGUAGUAAUUAUGAUAAUAAUAAUAAUAAUAAUAACAAUUUAAAUUCUGAAAUAAGAAGAAGGAUGAUAAAUAUAGAGAGGUUCAGUAAUAAUAAUAGUGUUUCGUCAU
RNAcentral lists this long non-coding RNA (1135 nucleotides) under Piliocolobus tephrosceles (Ugandan red Colobus). Its description in RNAcentral is "lncRNA (ENSPTEG00000006925.1)". The record is from RNAcentral. Lineage: Eukaryota; Metazoa; Chordata; Mammalia; Primates; Cercopithecidae.